CCUACGGGUGGCAGCAGCGAGGAAUUUUGCACAAUCGACGCAAGUCGGAUGCAGCAACGCCGCGUGGGGGAUGAAGGCUCUCGGGUUGUAAACCCCUUUUGCGAGGGAAGAAGAUCUGACGGUACCUCGCGAAUAAGUCACGGCUAACUACGUGCCAGCAGCCGCGGUAAUACGUAGGUGGCGAACGUUGUCCGGAUUCACUGGGCGUAAAGCGCGCGCAGGCGGAUCGGUAAGUCAGAGGUGAAAUCUCCCGGCUCAACUGGGAGGGGCCCUUUGAUACUGCCGACCUUGAGGCAUCUAGAGGAGAGUGGAAUUCCCGGUGUAGUGGUGGAAUGCGUAGAUAUCGGGAGGAACACCAGCGGCGAAAGCGGCUCUCUGGGGAUGUCCUGACGCUGAGGCGCGAAAGCGUGGGGAGCAAACGGGAUUAGAUACCCCUGUAGUC
Molecule: ribosomal RNA, 442 nt
Filed under: uncultured Chloroflexota bacterium
Lineage: Bacteria; Bacillati; Chloroflexota
Description: bacterial SSU rRNA
Rfam family: Bacterial small subunit ribosomal RNA
Source: RNAcentral